AGCAGGCUGUGCAUGUAUUAACUUCCUUCCUCCAGUACUAAUAAGCUGUGCAAAUACAUGUUCUUGGCAAAACGUUUUACUGCAGUUAAUUAAAAAAUACCCUCCCCCAGCAGCUUUUCAAAUUAUGUGAACUGCUUUAAGAAAAUCACAGCUAGGUUUGCUUCACUGUUAAAAGUGCUACCAGAAGCAGAGGGCACGAAAGAGGAAAGGAAAGGCCAGCCAAAGCUGCUGCAGGAGUUACAGAGUAAGGAUGUUUCCGAGGUCUGGGAACAGAAUUGCAGCAAGGAAAGCAGUACUUGGUAUCUCAAUCUGAUCAAGAGUGACUGAAAACCAGAUUCAAACCCAGCGAUAUCGCUAAAUCAGUGUAAACCUGAUGGACACCAUGCAACCUGCCUAACAGCCAUCAGCUAUGGC
This is a long non-coding RNA of Strigops habroptila (Kakapo), 414 nucleotides long. RefSeq lists it as uncharacterized. NCBI's taxonomy places the organism in Eukaryota, Metazoa, Chordata, Aves, Psittaciformes, Psittacidae. The transcript has 2 exons. The record is from RefSeq and is a predicted model, not a curated record.